This is a long non-coding RNA of Condylura cristata (star-nosed mole), 614 nucleotides long. RefSeq lists it as uncharacterized. The record is from RefSeq and is a predicted model, not a curated record. NCBI's taxonomy places the organism in Eukaryota, Metazoa, Chordata, Mammalia, Eulipotyphla, Talpidae. The transcript has 4 exons.
CUGGGGCUAGGCUUGGCGAUGAGUGGCUGGCGGGAGUGAUUGGCUGGUGGAAGGAGCCGUUGCAGAUGUCGCCUUCAGGUUCAGCAGAGAGCUCCUUCUGAGGUUUGGAUAAGCUGUGGAGCCUUCUCAAAGACAGAGUAAUUGGCGCUGGCAGAUCUCAGCAAUUCUUCCUGACUCUUUAUGCAAGUCCCUCUUGGAAACAUUGUGGAUCACCAUUUCCAGAUCUGUUUCAUGCUGCAUAUACCACCAACAUGUCGGGCCCUCUCCAGUUUUUAAACCAUUCCAUUCCAGGAAGGCUUGCUACUGGUGAGAGCAAAAGCCCCCAGGAGGUUAAGCUCUCAGAAGAGAAAUAUUCAUCAGCUCACACGUCUCUGAAAAAUAACUCAGUGGCUUGUUUUGAUCCAUCUCUUGAAGUCCUUCCUACCAGGCACCAAAUCAUGUCCCACAAAAGGGAAGCUGACACAAUCCAUCCUGACCUUGCUGGUUUGUUGGUGAAAAACAAGAAUCUGUUAGCCGAGAACUGGGGUGCAGGCUACAGAUGCAGAGACCAAUGCAGAGACCGUGACAGGAUUCACCAGAGACAGAGCGGGAAGCAGAACAGGCAGACUGACAAA